GACGAACGCUGGCGGCGUGCCUAAUACAUGCAAGUCGAACGGAAAGGCCUCAGCUUGCUGUGGUACUCGAGUGGCGAACGGGUGAGUAACACGUGGGUGACCUGCCUUGCACCGUGGGAUAACUCUGGGAAACGGGGUCUAAUACCGGAUAUGAACUGCCGUUGGUGUGGUGGUUGGAAAAUUUUGCGGGUGCAAGAUGAUCGCUCGGCCUAUCAGUGUGUUGGUGGGGUGGUGGCCUACCAACGGGGCGACGGGUAGCCGGCCUGAGAGGUUGAACGGCGACAAUGGGCCUGAGAUACGGCGCAGUCUGCUACGGGAGGCAGUAGACGGGAGUAUUACACAAUAGCCGGACGCGAGAGGCGGAGGGGCCAGGUGGGGGAUGCCGGGCUUUGGGUUGUGAACGCGUUUCAACAGGGAUGAGGCUUUUUGUGACGGUACCUGUAUAAGAAGCAACGGCUAACUACGUG
Molecule: ribosomal RNA, 467 nt
Filed under: uncultured bacterium
Lineage: Bacteria
Description: partial 16S ribosomal RNA
Rfam family: Bacterial small subunit ribosomal RNA
Source: RNAcentral